This is a long non-coding RNA of Engraulis encrasicolus (European anchovy), 236 nucleotides long. RefSeq lists it as uncharacterized. The record is from RefSeq and is a predicted model, not a curated record. NCBI's taxonomy places the organism in Eukaryota, Metazoa, Chordata, Actinopteri, Clupeiformes, Engraulidae. The transcript is spliced from 3 exons.
AAGAUGGCCAGGAUUGCUGCUGGACGGAAGUUGUCUAGUGACAUUGACCGUGUCGGAAAAUGCUGAGAAAGACCAACGUUUUUUAAAAAGAAGAUGGUCAGGGACUCUUUGCUGCUGAAUGGAAGCUGUCUAGAGCUGCUAGAGUGUCACUCUGGUUGCCACCUUCUCCCAUAAGGACACGUUGACUGAGGGAGAUAUUGAGCCCUGCCCUGACUCUGCACACAACAAAGGAGUGU